AGUGAACGCUGGCGGUAGGCCUAACACAUGCGAGUCGAACGGCAGCACAGUAAGAGCUUGCUCUUACGGGUGGCGAGUGGCGGACGGGUGAGGAAUACAUCGGAAUCUACUUUUUCGUGGGGGAUAACGUAGGGAAACUUACGCUAAUACCGCAUACGACCUACGGGUGAAAGCAGGGGAUCUUCGGACCUUGCGCGAUUGAAUGAGCCGAUGUCGGAUUAGCUAGUUGGCGGGGUAAAGGCCCACCAAGGCGACGAUCCGUGGCUGGUCUGAGAGGAUGAUCAGCCACACUGGAACUGAGACACGGUCCAGACUCCUACGGGAGGCAGCAGUGGGGAAUAUUGGACAAUGGGCGCAAGCCUGAUCCAGCCAUACCGCGUGGGUGAAGAAGGCCUUCGGGUUGUAAAGCCCUUUUGUUGGGAAAGAAAAGCAGCAGGUUAAUACCCCGCUGUUCUGACGGUACCCAAAGAAUAAGCACCGGCUAACUUCGUG
RNAcentral lists this ribosomal RNA (492 nucleotides) under uncultured bacterium. RNAcentral describes it as "partial 16S ribosomal RNA". It matches the Rfam family "Bacterial small subunit ribosomal RNA", at positions 29 to 507 of the family's 1533-position model. The record is from RNAcentral.